RNAcentral lists this ribosomal RNA (321 nucleotides) under uncultured eukaryote. Its description in RNAcentral is "partial 18S ribosomal RNA". It matches the Rfam family "Eukaryotic small subunit ribosomal RNA", at positions 1470 to 1796 of the family's 1831-position model. The record is from RNAcentral.
CCCUUAGAUGUCCUGGGCCGCACGCGCGCUACACUGACAUGUUCAACAAGCCUCCUAGUUCGACAGGAUUUGGGAAAUCUUUGAACGCAUGUCGUGAUAGGGAUAGAUCAUUGCAAUUAUUGAUCUUGAACGAGGAAUUCCUAGUAAACGCGAGUCAUCAGCUCGCAUUGAUUACGUCCCUGCCCUUUGUACACACCGCCCGUCGCACCUACCGAUUGAAUGUUUCGGUGAAGAUUCCGGAUAGGACUUUUCUGAUUUAUUUCAAUUUUGUCUUAAAAGCUAUCUAAACCUCAACAUUUAGAGGAAGGUGAAGUCGUAACA